This 100-nucleotide transfer RNA is filed under the name Fervidicoccus fontis Kam940. It matches the Rfam family "tRNA". Rfam says of the family: Transfer RNA (tRNA) molecules are approximately 80 nucleotides in length. The record is from Rfam by way of RNAcentral. Lineage: Archaea; Thermoproteati; Thermoproteota; Thermoprotei; Fervidicoccales; Fervidicoccaceae.
GCCGCCGUAGCUCAGCCCCGGUAGAGCACCGGCCUCGUACGGUUUAAAUUAAAAAAUCAGGGAGAGCCGGGGGUCGCGGGUUCGAGUCCCGCCGGCGGCU